Long non-coding RNA from Homo sapiens (human), 426 nucleotides. RefSeq lists it as uncharacterized. The record is from RefSeq and is a predicted model, not a curated record. Lineage: Eukaryota; Metazoa; Chordata; Mammalia; Primates; Hominidae. The transcript has 2 exons.
UGCACAGUCUGGGUCUGCCCUUGCAGUGGUAUCUGUCUCUGUGAAGACUCCACCACGGGUCGCCAUCAGGUCAGAGACCCUGACAAGACGCAAAAACCAAGGCCAAACAGCUGAGUUUUCUGCCCUGGAGGAGGAAAGUGGUCUCUGAAAGCCAGAAGACUCUCACAUUACAUAAUUCCUGCCAGCUGCUGUCAAGAGCUGCUAAGCUGUCCUCAAGUCCUGUGUCUGAUGUCAAGCUAAUAACAGAUUUAGGGUGCAUUAGUAAAGGUAUCUUAAUCAAGUCUAGAUGCCUUCGAGAUUAGACUCAGCCAUGAUGAGCAGCUAAGGAUUAGCAAGAAAGAUUACAAAUUGUUUCCAGGAAUUUAUUUCUUUCAACACUGAUUAUAUGUAUAGUCUUAAGUCAAAUUAAAAUGUUGUUUAUGUUCA